RNAcentral lists this ribosomal RNA (627 nucleotides) under fungal endophyte. RNAcentral describes it as "eukaryotic LSU rRNA". The stretch from base 191 to 344 matches the Rfam family "5.8S ribosomal RNA". The record is from RNAcentral. Lineage: Eukaryota; Fungi.
CGGAGGGAUCAUUAAAGAGUUCUAUAACUCCCAAACCCAUGUGAACAUACUUAACGUUGCCUCGGCAGGUCGCACCUACCUUGUAGCACCCUACCCUGUAGGGCCUACCCGGGAGAUGCGGGUAAGCCUGCCGGCGGCCCACCAAACUCUGUUUGAUAUUGAAUUCUGAACAUAUAACUAAAUAAGUUAAAACUUUCAACAACGGAUCUCUUGGUUCUGGCAUCGAUGAAGAACGCAGCGAAAUGCGAUAAGUAAUGUGAAUUGCAGAAUUCAGUGAAUCAUCGAAUCUUUGAACGCAUAUUGCGCCCAUUAGUAUUCUAGUGGGCAGGACCGUUCGAGCGUCAUUUCGACCCUUAAGCCUUAGUUGCUUAGUGUUGGGAGCCUACGGCAACGUAGCUCCUCAAAGUUAGUGGCGGAGUUGGUUCACACUCUAGACGUAGUAAUUUUUUAUCUCGCCUAUCAGUUGGACUGAUCCCCUGCCGUAAAACCCCCAACUUAUCAAGGUUGACCUCGAAUCGGUUCAGACAAACUCGCUAAAUUGAAGCAUCUUAGUCAGCGAAGGAAAAGAAACCAACAGGGAUUGCCCUAGUAACGGCGAGUGAAGCGGCAACAGCUCAAAUUUGAAAU